CGUCGGUCACCCCGCAACGAUACAUUGCGAACCCCGCCAGGCCCGGAAGGGAGCAACGGUAGUGAUGGAUUCGUGUGCCGGGGCACGGCGGGCGCGG
RNAcentral lists this signal recognition particle RNA (97 nucleotides) under Tenderia electrophaga (SeqCode). Its description in RNAcentral is "Candidatus Tenderia electrophaga Bacterial small signal recognition particle RNA". It matches the Rfam family "Bacterial small signal recognition particle RNA". Rfam says of the family: The signal recognition particle (SRP) is a universally conserved ribonucleoprotein involved in the co-translational targeting of proteins to membranes. The record is from Rfam by way of RNAcentral. Lineage: Bacteria; Pseudomonadati; Pseudomonadota; Gammaproteobacteria; Tenderiales (SeqCode); Tenderiaceae (SeqCode).